AAAAGUUAGUUAAACCUAAUAAUAACAUUGAUUUGUCAAAUCAAAAUUAACUAUAAAUUACUUUUUAA
Molecule: transfer RNA, 68 nt
Filed under: Acizzia uncatoides
Lineage: Eukaryota; Metazoa; Arthropoda; Insecta; Hemiptera; Psyllidae
Description: tRNA-Asp
Source: RNAcentral